This 253-nucleotide ribosomal RNA is filed under the name uncultured bacterium. RNAcentral's name for it is "partial 16S ribosomal RNA". It matches the Rfam family "Bacterial small subunit ribosomal RNA", at positions 524 to 776 of the family's 1533-position model. The record is from RNAcentral.
UACGUAGGGGGCUAGCGUUGUCCGGAAUCAUUGGGCGUAAAGCGCGUGUAGGCGGCCCGGUAAGUCCGCUGUGAAAGUCGGGGGCUCAACCCUCGAAUGCCGGUGGAUACUGCAUGGCUAGAGUACGGAAGAGGCGAGUGGAAUUCCUGGUGUAGCGGUGGAAUGCGCAGAUAUCAGGAGGAACACCAAUAGCGAAGGCAGCUCGCUGGGACGUUACUGACACUGAGGCGCGAAAGCGUGGGGAGCGAACAGG